CACUAGCUUUAGCAAUUAAGUCACAUUUGUCACAAGCAUUUUAACAUAGGAGGAAACACGGUGGGGUCUUAAAGUGUGCGGCCUCGCCUGCGAGUGCCACAAGAAAAGAAAGAGAGAGAAAGGAUAGUAGUUUGGAAUUCUGUGGGGGGCGUGGCGGAGCCAGGUAAGAGAUGGCAGAAUUGAGUCAGAAACCAGGCCGUAUUGAUUUUAAUGGAGCCCACAGCAACUCCAAUCUCUGGACAACUCAAAGGCAAGAUCCAUCCAGUGAUCCAAAUUUAACACUACACCCGGUCAGAGGAUGAUAUAGCUUAGCUGAGAAAAUAAACAGAGUAUAAUAGGAUGAAUUAGAAAGAGCUAGGUGAGAUAGAGAGAGGAGAGAAAAAGGGAAGAGUCGGUGUUAGGCAAUCUGUGAGAUCCCAGAGACUGAGGUGACUGCAGGGUGCUCCUUUUAAUGUCUUUGAUACGCAAAUGUACCCAAUACAUAUUGAUGAAUUACAUAGUGUAUUGCCAUUGGGUAAUUGUAAAUUAAGGCAAGGUAUAGGUGUGGUUUAUCCCAGCAUGGAUCAGACAAAGGGAUCUAAGUUUCCCGCCUAACCUGGGGGAAGCUGGGAUCAAGGGUCAGAGGCUUUACUAGCCAUGCGCAAGACUGAGCAUGCUCUCUUCUAAGCCACUCUGUACAUUCUAACUGUCUCCCUUGUCCAUAGCUAGGUGUGGACUGCUACAAAGUGAUAACUGAGAAGGAUUCGAUGGACACCAUCAACCAGGAGGCCAUAGGAAGGUCAAUGCAACAGAGCAUACACAGGCCAAGUAGUCCUGGUUGCCAGGAGAGGUUCCUCAGAGACUUUGAAGACAUGAAUCGGUUUCACAGCUGGAGACAGAGUGAUUUACUGCAGCAAUUCCUCAAUUAAAGUGCUUUCUCUUCACAAUGAUUGGACCCUUCCAUUAGGAAAUGAAAGCCUUUUGUAUAAAGUAAAAUGUGUUUUGUCCUCACCAAGGCAGACAAAGGAUUAAGUUAGAGGAGAAUAGUCUUGUGAACUGGC
RNAcentral lists this long non-coding RNA (1040 nucleotides) under Monodelphis domestica (gray short-tailed opossum). RNAcentral's name for it is "lncRNA (ENSMODG00000042461.1)". The record is from RNAcentral. Lineage: Eukaryota; Metazoa; Chordata; Mammalia; Didelphimorphia; Didelphidae.